AGUGAACGCUGGCGGUAGGCCUAACACAUGCAAGUCGAGCGACCACACAGUAAGAGCUUGCUCUUGCGGGUGGCGAGUGGCGGACGAGUGAGGAGUACAUAGGAUUCUACUUUUUCGUGGGGAUAACGUAGGGAAACGUGCGCUAAUCGCGCAUAAGUCCUACGGGUGAAAGCCGGGAGUCUUCGGACCUUGCGCGAUCGCAUGUGCCGAUGCCGGAUUAGCUAGUUGGUGGGGUAAAGGCCAACCAAGGCGACGAUCCGUAGCCGGUCUGAGAGGGUGAUCGGCCACACUGGAACUGAGACACGGUCCAGACUCCUACGGGAGGCAGCAGUAGGGAAUAUUCGACAAUGGGCGCAAGCCUGAUCCAGCCACACCGCGUGAGUGAAGAAGGCCUUCGGGUUGUAAAGCCCUUUUGUUGGGAAAGAAAAGCAGCAGGUGUAUACCCCGCCGUUCUGACGGUACCUAAAGAAUAAGCACCGGCUAACUUCGUG
This 491-nucleotide ribosomal RNA is filed under the name uncultured bacterium. RNAcentral describes it as "partial 16S ribosomal RNA". It matches the Rfam family "Bacterial small subunit ribosomal RNA", at positions 29 to 507 of the family's 1533-position model. The record is from RNAcentral.